GAUGAACGCUAGCGGCAGGCUUAACACAUGCAAGUCGAACGGCAGCGGACCUUCGGGUGCCGGCGAGUGGCGAACGGGUGAGUAAUAUAUCGGGAACGUACCUUUCAGUGGGGGAUAACGUAGCGAAAGUUACGCUAAUACCGCAUAUUCUGUGAGCAGGAAAGCAGGGGAUCGCAAGACCUUGCGCUGAUUGAGCGGCCGAUAUCAGAUUAGCUAGUUGGUGAGGUAAAGGCUCACCAAGGCGACGAUCUGUAGCGGGUCUGAGAGGAUGAUCCGCCACACUGGAACUGAGACACGGUCCAGACUCCUACGGGAGGCAGCAGUGGGGAAUUUUGGACAAUGGGCGCAAGCCUGAUCCAGCCAUGCCGCGUGAGUGAAGAAGGCC
This 385-nucleotide ribosomal RNA is filed under the name uncultured bacterium. Its description in RNAcentral is "bacterial SSU rRNA". It matches the Rfam family "Bacterial small subunit ribosomal RNA", at positions 28 to 416 of the family's 1533-position model. The record is from RNAcentral.